This 229-nucleotide ribosomal RNA is filed under the name uncultured bacterium. Its description in RNAcentral is "partial 16S ribosomal RNA". It matches the Rfam family "Bacterial small subunit ribosomal RNA", at positions 568 to 796 of the family's 1533-position model. The record is from RNAcentral.
UGCGUAGGCGGUCUUAUAAGUCAGUAGUGAAAUCUCGAGGCUCAACCUCGAGCGUGCUAUUGAAACUGUAAGACUUGAGUACAGACGAGGCAGGCGGAAUGUGUUAUGUAGCGGUGAAAUGCAUAGAUAUAACACAGAACACCGAUAGCGAAGGCAGCUUGCCAGACUGUAACUGACGCUGAUGCACGAAAGCGUGGGUAGCGAACAGGAUUAGAUACCCUGGUAGUCC